Rhineura floridana is the source of this 907-nucleotide long non-coding RNA. RefSeq lists it as uncharacterized. The record is from RefSeq and is a predicted model, not a curated record. NCBI's taxonomy places the organism in Eukaryota, Metazoa, Chordata, Lepidosauria, Squamata, Rhineuridae. The transcript has 5 exons.
GCAAAAUUUCAACACUGCAGAAUUAAGCAGGAAAGAAAAGUAGCUAUAUGAGAAAAAGCAGAGCCUUUUUAUUUAUGAUUUCUUUCGGGCUGCUGCUACAUAACAGUAUACGGGAGCUGGCAAACUUUGCAGGGUCUCUUACCAUCUGACAAGUCAAUCAGUCCAAGGUAGUGCAAAAGUUUCAGAGAGGAACAAAUCACCACCACAAUUCCUAAAGUCUGGAGCCCUUCAGACUCGCCUUCGCUCCACAUCCUUUAAGAUGUUUUGAAGGACAACUCCCAUCAUCCCUGAAUUCUGGCGAUGCUGGCUAAGGCUGAUGGACAUUAAGUGAAAAAUAUUUGGAGGACAUCAGGUGUCUUGCCACAUGAAAGAGAUGGCCAUGUGAAAUUGUGAAACCAUUUGAACUCACAUGGUUUGGAAACAAUGCACACUAGGAUCUUCACAGCUAUUUGAAUGAACAAGUUGGUGCUGUUCCCAGUGACAUUCUGUCCCAGGAACAAGGAGGCUUUGGUGGUGGUGGUUUGAAAAAACAAAAAGAGGGGAGACAUUAUUCUCAAAAAGACUUCGAGGUUCAUACUGAUAUUGCUUCCCCUCCAUAUCACUUCUCUGCACUGAUUUAAACUGCAGUUACACAAAACUUCCAAAGUGUAUGAUGACAUCUACUAUGGCUGUGUCUUAAUGGUUAAACCCUGCUGUUUGAAGAAGACUCAAGUUCAAGGAAUGAAAUUUGACCCUUCACUUCAGAAACAGGUCUGAGAAAUGAGUAAGAAGAUUCUGUCUUCCCUGUGGGCUGCUAUGAACUCACGUCAUAAGCCAAACCAAUUCCAGUGAAUAUAAUUGACAGAGAAAAAAUGUUUGACUUCUUAACUAGAAAAGUAUAACACUGAAGCAUGUACACUUUUUAAAA